CUUGUACACACCGCCCGUCACACCAGUGGGAGGUUCGGGUUUUACCAAGAAGUGGCUAGUCUAACCGCAAGGAGGACGGUCACCACGGUAGGAUUCAUGACUGGGGUG
RNAcentral lists this ribosomal RNA (108 nucleotides) under uncultured bacterium. Its description in RNAcentral is "partial 16S ribosomal RNA". The record is from RNAcentral.